Molecule: transfer RNA, 72 nt
Filed under: Camelus bactrianus (Bactrian camel)
Lineage: Eukaryota; Metazoa; Chordata; Mammalia; Artiodactyla; Camelidae
Also listed under: 2 other names
Rfam family: tRNA
About the family: Transfer RNA (tRNA) molecules are approximately 80 nucleotides in length.
Source: Rfam by way of RNAcentral
GAGGGUAUAGUUCAGUGGUAGACCAUGUGCUUAGCAUGCACAAGGUCCUGGGUUCAAUCCCCAGUACCUACA